Erpetoichthys calabaricus (reedfish) is the source of this 1420-nucleotide non-coding RNA. Lineage: Eukaryota; Metazoa; Chordata; Cladistia; Polypteriformes; Polypteridae. The record is from the annotation of a RefSeq genome assembly.
AAGUCAGAGGUUACCAAGCUCAUUAAGGAUCACGAGGGGAUGGAAGUAAGAAAGGCUAAAGAGCUCAUCAAGCGACUAGAGAAGGAAAUCAUGGAGUUGAAGAGGAGAGAUGCCGAGUUGUCCAAGCUUUCACAGUCAGAUGACCACAUCCACUUCCUUCAGAAGUUCCCAACUCUGUGUGUUCCACCUGAAGAUGAAGACAUCAUUGUUAAUAGUGAUUUGCUUCCUGAAACUCUAAGGAAGGAUCUGAUUAUUUUGAAGGAGAAUCUGGAAGAAGUCAAUGGCUGGGAGUUUUUGAAGACCAGUGAAACUGAGGACAACAUUUCAGGUUAUGUCCUACAGAACCUGAGAAUUAAAGAUCGACUUUUAAAAUCUGAUGAUAAGCCUCCCAGACUCUCCAAUAUGUAUGUUCACUUCAAUACAUUUAAUCAGCACUGCACACUGAUCUGCAUUGUAUCAGACUUUUAUCCAAAAGAGAUCAAUGUCACCUGGUUAAGGAGAAAAAAGAGUAAAAUCUAUUUGUUUGAUGGGUCAGAUGACUGGAACCCCACUGUGAGUCACUAUGGACCAUCAUUGACAAAUAAUAAAUACUCACUGGUAUCUCAGGCUGAGUUCAUCCCUCAGUCCCUGAGUGAUCUGGAGGACAUGCAGUUCAUCUGCAGAGUGGAGCACAAGACCCUAAAUGGGAAGACAAUUGAGGAGAGCUGCCCAGUAAUACCAGGUCUGCAGAAACGGCCCAUUGUGUCAGUCAUAAAGAUGAUUGACUAUAAUGGACCUCGCCAGCGCUGCACCCUGAGCUGCUCCAUCCAGGAUUUCUACCCCAAAGACAUCAAGGUGACAUGGCAGCGGGCUGGUCAGAAUGGACCUAACAUCAGUGACUUGAGCUGUGUUCCUCAGAGAGGAGAAUGGAGCUAUAAUCUACAGUCUAAGGCCUCAAUCGUUGCCAAAACUAAGAGUGAACUGCAGGAAGUACAGUACAUUUGUAAGAUUGAGCAUGAGACUCUAAACCUGAAGCCUAUUGAGAUUUGCAGUGGGAAGCUGGACAUACCAGUUAAGUGAAUCUCUUGUCUCUCAUUAUGUACUGUGUCAAAUGGAGUAUCUCUUGCCGUUGCACGUUACAAACAACUCUUUACAAUUAGAUAUACAUUUUUGAUGCUUAUUGAAUUUCUUACCAUUUUUACUUCCUUGGCAUCCUCAUUCACUUUGGAUGACUCUACAUUAUUCUGUUUGCCUUGACUUGCGAACUACUUCAGCAUUCACUUGCUUGAUUGUUUUAUUUGAGACUGUAAAAGUUCAUUGAAUCACCCAGGUGAUUAAGGUCAUGAUUUUUUGCCUUGUUUAUAAAGAUGGUGGAGAGCUGUGCUGAGCUGAACCUGUGCCCUAUUGAGGUGACAUUACCAACCAUAAAGACCAUUUUUAU